RNAcentral lists this ribosomal RNA (244 nucleotides) under uncultured bacterium. RNAcentral describes it as "partial 16S ribosomal RNA". It matches the Rfam family "Bacterial small subunit ribosomal RNA", at positions 528 to 772 of the family's 1533-position model. The record is from RNAcentral.
GAGGAUGCGAGCGUUAUCCGGAUUUAUUGGGUUUAAAGGGUGCGUAGGCGGGCUUUCAAGCCGGCGGUCAAAUGUCGGGGCUCAACCCCGGCCUGCCGUCGGAACUGGAGGCCUUGAGUGGGCGAGAAGUAUGCGGAAUGCGUGGUGUAGCGGUGAAAUGCAUAGAUAUCACGCAGAACCCCGAUUGCGAAGGCAGCAUACCGGCGCCCUACUGACGCUGAGGCACGAAAGUGCGGGUAUCGAA